RNAcentral lists this small RNA (160 nucleotides) under Actinomycetota bacterium. RNAcentral's name for it is "Actinobacteria bacterium c-di-AMP sequence". It matches the Rfam family "c-di-AMP riboswitch aptamer (ydaO/yuaA leader)". From Rfam's summary of the family: This family represents a conserved RNA structure found upstream of the ydaO and yuaA genes in Bacillus subtilis and related genes in other bacteria. Lineage: Bacteria; Bacillati; Actinomycetota. The record is from RNAcentral.
CCCAUAUUUCUGCCGAAUCCGUCCGCUUCUCCGCGGGCGGAGCGGGGGACCCACAUCCCCAGGGGCGAAAGGUCAAGGGCCACGCCGGCCCGUCUGGCCAAGCGCGACUCCUCCGCGCGAGCCCGACAGCUAACCCCGUAGGCCGACGAGGAACGGAUGA